UUCAUAAAUAAUUCUUUUCACAGCCCCUGUGGGUACGAUAACUCGACAUUUACUUGUCACUUUAUUACUUGUUGUGAUUUGUACAUUGCACAUUUCCGUCUUCCAGUUGUCAAGCCGUAGUAUUAGUUCGUAUAUAAGCAUUAAACAUGUCUUUCAUCAUGUGAAAGAAAGAUUAGAAGACUAUUCUCUAGGCUCUUGAAACUCAGGUACAUUACGAGCAACCCCUUGAUUGGUGGUUGAAAAAUUACUUUGUGCGUCAAUGGGUACUGUUCGAUUGAAAUCAGUUGACAUUUUUAAUCUAUUAGAAAAUAAGUCAAACUGAUCAGGAGUCAUCACACUAUCACGGGCUAUAAAAUGGCAUGUAUUCCUAGACUCAAUACAUGCUACCUUCUGUCCUAAAAUCAACUAAACCGUAGCUCUAAUACCACUAAAUGUAAUACCCUAUACCCGAUACAAUUACUGUCCCGAGCUGUAAGAUAUUACAGCUAUAAAACUUUAACAUAUUUCAUAAAUUAUAUCAAACAUAAUCAAAAUAAUUCAUCACCAAUCAUUUCCAUUCAAAGUCUCAUUCCUUAUAACCGUUUCAUAUAUUCGUUUCAUUUUAUACAUUUAACACCCGAUGAACCAAAUGAAAUAACGUCAGAUACUCAAGAACAAUGCUCACAAAAAGUGUGACUAUAAUUGUAACUGUAAAUGCUUACACUAGCUAUGAAAUGGGUCAGUUCACACGAGCUGUGUGUCAGGAUCUUAGGCUAAAUGAUGCUACUCACACGAGUCGUGGAGAAUCCACAACAAAUGCAGGACCUCAGCCAACGGUAGGAUAUUCAAGACCAGCACCCAAAACUGUAAAUAAUCCCUAAUGACAUGACAUUUGCAUCCUAAGCAUUCACGAGGUUCAUAUGGACCAUUUUUCAUAUCUAUAUCAUUUAGUCAUAUACAUAUUAUUUCAUCACAAGAAUUCAUCCAUGUAGUUUCCCAUUUUCAAACAUAACCUUUAAUUUAAUUAUCAUUUCAACUUAGUUCAUUUAAUCUUUUACCAUUUAACCAGUAAAUGAACUCAAUCAUGACAUAUAUAGAUAGAUUAAUAUCACAAAAACAACUAAUUAAUUUUUACUAAGUUAUGAACUUACCUCGACUAACAUGGAUGCAAAAAUAAAGCCGACGACUAAUCCAAAACCUUAGUUUUACCAUGAUUCAAGUCUAGUUUAUUUGUUUCUUGAUCUAAAUAAUAAUUUAACUCAAUUAAAUAAUUCAAGUAGCUUAAAUUUAAAGAUUCUAACUUAUAACCCAUUUUAAUGUAAAAUUACGAAUUUACUCCUAACAUUUUAACUUUUGUUCAAUUCAGUCCCUAAAUUCCAAACUCACGAUUAAACCACAAUUAAUGAAAUAUCAUAAUGAUUUUCUUUAACGUCCUUUACAACCCAUAGCUUUCAUCAUUUCAUAAAAUUACCAUUGAAUUUUACCAUUUUCUCAAAUAAGUCCUUAAGCUCAAGUUCAUAAAAAAUCACUUAACAAAAUGUGUCUAUUUAACAACCAAGCUUAAUAAUCUAUCAAUCAAAUUCACUAACACUACAAACUCAUUCAUGGAAAGUCCCUAAACCUUUAAAAAUUUUACAAAUUAACCCCCGGGCUAGCUAGAUUAAGCUAAUACGAACUCGAAAACAUAAAAAUUACUUCAAACUGGACGAAAUAUUAUACCAUGCAUACCAAGAUAGCUUAGCCGAAACUUGAAGAUGAAAAAUGGUGGUAUUUUCCUUCUUAAUUUUUGAUGAUGGUGGAGAAGAAAGAUGAUAGCUUUCUUUGGUUUAUUUUUGUUUUAGUUUAAUUUAUUUAAUUACUAAUUUACCCUUAGAUUAUUAACUAAUAACUAACAAGAAUUUGUCCAUAAAUGUCCACUAGCCACUUUCAUGGUUUAUUUACCAUGUAAGUUCAUUAAUUUACUUUUUUAAAGUUAUUUAACCCUUUGAACUAAUAGAAACCCACUUUUGCAACCUUUACAGUUUAAUCCUUUUUACUAAAUUAACUAUCUAAACCUUAAAAUUUCUUAAUGCAAAUUUAAUACAACUCUAAUAUAGCUCUAUAGGCAUUAAAUAAACAUUAAAAUACCAACUUGCUCGUCGGAAUCGUGGUCCCAAAAUCACUAUUUCUGACGCCACUGAAAAUAGGUUGUUAUAACAUACCUUCAUUAAUACUCCAUACUUAUGUUCAUGGACAAUCUUAUUAAUUAGUUUUUAGUUGAUUACGCCCUAAGUACACUUAGAGACAAUGGUUGGAUACUCGGGACCAAUCAGCCAACACACCAUAAUAAUAGAAAUCGUGGCAUUAGUGUUUGAAAACCAGAUUAGAAUCACACCAAAGUGCCAUAAAUGGAAACACCAAAGUGCUAAUGACAAGAGUGCCAAAGUACUCAUAUCAGGAAUCCCUUAUUGGCAAGCUAAUAGUAUCCAAGCCAACUCACUAAGCUACUAGGGCUCAUUUAUCAAUCUAGAUUGCCAGAAAUUUUUUUUACAAUAAUUAUUCGUUUUAGUGUUGAUUUUCAUGACUUAUGUUUCUAUAACAAAAUUUAGUAAAAAUUCCAUGGCUUAUGCCAUCAUAACAUGAUUUAAUAGAAAUCUCACUCCAUGUAUUAUGCCAAUAUCAUUUCUGUCAUAAAUAUGGUUUUUAGCCAUUUUGUAACACCCCAAACCCAACCUAGACGUUAUAGCCAGAUUUAAAGGUGUUACCAUAAAUCAAUUGAAAACAUAAUAGAAAUCUCACUUCAUGUAUUAUGCCAAUAUCAUUUCUGUCAUAAAUAUGGUUUUUAGCCAUUUUGUAACACCCCAUACUCGGCCUAGAUGUUAUGGCCAAAUCUGAAGGUGUUACCGUAAAUCAAUUGAAAACCUAGAAUUCGUUUGUCUUGAAAAGAAACCAUUAGUUUAUAUUUUUGUAGAAAUUCGAUUUAUUAGAAAAUGCAUCUUUCCUCCUCGAUUGGAGAAAACUUUUGUUCAGAUUUACAUAUUUUAAAAUGGUUGAAUUUGCAGCAGAAAACUUUUAGUUGAGUGCAAUUCUGAAAACAAGGUUGUUUAGAAAAGUCCAAAAUUUUGAUAAUCAUAUUCAAAUUAGCCGAAAAGCUUAAAUAAUUAAAACAGAAAAUACACAGCAAAAAUAAAGUCCAAACAUGAAACAGUCCAAGAUAGUCCAAAAAUGCCGAAAUAAUAAAAUUAAGAAAUAUAUAAUGAUUAAUUUAUUUAUUUUAACCAAGUUCCGUCACACCGACCCAUCCUAAGUAUGAGGGUUACCUAAUUGACAAACAACAGAAAGUGAGUUUUUGAAACUUAUUGUGUAGCAUAUCAUAUAGAAAUCAAUUAGACAUAUAGAUAUAUAUAUAUAUAUUAGAAGCAGAGCUUAUCAAAACAUAACAGAUGCAAAUAUAUAUAAUCCUAUCCCCAUCCACUACACACCAUCUCUGCCAUCCCAACACUCCAUAUAGGGUAUUAUAAACCCAUCCAACCCUACACACUGUUUAGUGCUGGUAUGACACUUUUCAGAAUAUUUGCAGCUGAGCUACCAAUUUAUUAAGUGAUUUAUCGCUGUUUACAAAAAAAUAUAUGGUUGUGCCACCAAUUACGAUAGAGAUAGCCUACACUUCUAUCAUAUACACAAGUCCCAUCCCAAAUGCAAAUGCAGAACUAACAGAUGUCAAAUAUUUUUAUGAUAUACAUGCUUAUCAUGACCAAUACAGAACAUACAUAACACUUUUCAGAUUAUACAUACUAUAGAUUUAUCACCUCAUAUAUGCGUUCAUAUGUCAUAUUUUAUGCUGACAGAUGGUCAAAUUUCAUGUUUUAUAACUUCAUUGAUCACAUACAAACCCUAUGGAAGGCCUACAUUCGAUUCAAAUGAUAUUUACGGCCUUAGGCACGCGUAUGGCCUACACGACCUCACACAUGCCCUUGUAUGGCCCACACGGCCCAAUUGGCCUAAACUAUGUGUCACACACAGCCCAGCACACAGCCUGUCACAUGGUUUUGUUGUUCGCUAAUUUUCAGGUUUUUCGUUACACUCAUUUAUUGUUUCUGAAGUGAAUCCACUCGCAAGACUUCCAAAACCUAAAAUGAUUAACCCACCUGAUUAGCAAUGAUUUCCCAAUUUUCCAACUAACACUUCCAUUCAAAAACGUUAGUAUAAACAUUAUUAAUCUAAAAUUUAGACUCUUAGGUGUUCUAACACUCACCCAAAAAUCCACAGCAGAACCAAGUACCACUGACUCACAAUAGGAAAAUUUUGAACUUCUUGAUUAACACCUAACAACAAAAAUUUACGAGAUUAAACCACGCUCCAAUGAUAAUUAAGCUAUUAAUCACAACCCUUAUACAAAACUAUAGAGAACACUUACCUAUGAAUUCCCGUAGAAUCAUAAUCGCACAAAAGAAUAAGGUUGAACCCCAUACCAAUUCACAAGGAAGAGAUUAAAACAAAAUAACAAAGAAAUCAAGAACAAAAUAGCACAGGAGGCGUAAAUGAAAGAAGGGAAAAUAAAGAAAGUACAAGAAAGGAAGGAACAAAAAGAAUAGAACGUGGAAGCACAAUUGGGAAAUGUGGGGAAUUUGGG
RNAcentral lists this long non-coding RNA (4591 nucleotides) under Gossypium raimondii (Peruvian cotton). RNAcentral describes it as "long non-coding RNA (GRAI_LNC002798)". Lineage: Eukaryota; Viridiplantae; Streptophyta; Magnoliopsida; Malvales; Malvaceae. The record is from RNAcentral.